Molecule: long non-coding RNA, 331 nt
Filed under: Anser brachyrhynchus (Pink-footed goose)
Lineage: Eukaryota; Metazoa; Chordata; Aves; Anseriformes; Anatidae
Description: lncRNA (ENSABRG00000019542.1)
Source: RNAcentral
CAGCAGGAAAGCCCGUCAUCCCUGAGCCGCCACCAGCCCUGCUGACCCACUGAGCCCUGCACUGGUGCAACCAUCCCGAUCGUUCCAGAUCCAGCCUGUCCCUCACAGGCAGCCCGUCCUCUCCUCAUAAAGACCCUGCAGCCCCCAUCUGCCAGCAAAACCCCGUGUAUGAGAAGUGGGACAGGCCGCAUCAUGGAGGGCAGCAAGCAGGAUCGGGCUCACAUGUUGUGGAGGACGGGAGGCAGACGCAAGCUGACAAGAAAAUGGCUGACAAGAAAAUCUACCCAAGAGUGGACAUAAUCCAGCUGGUGGUUUCAGAGGAAAAGGCUUU